This is a long non-coding RNA of Symphalangus syndactylus (siamang), 692 nucleotides long. RefSeq lists it as uncharacterized. The record is from RefSeq and is a predicted model, not a curated record. NCBI's taxonomy places the organism in Eukaryota, Metazoa, Chordata, Mammalia, Primates, Hylobatidae.
AAGAACCUCCUUCUUAAUCCUUUCAGCCCUUGCAAAGUGGAGAGCUUUGCCUGCCGGUCUGUCACCACAGUUAACACACUCUGAAGAAUGCACUGUUAGAACUGCUGUGUAGAUAGACCUGUUUCCACUUCAAAAGGAUAACCUGCGAUUCAACACCGGCCCAGCCCGCAUGUGGUCCUUGAGCUGAGCAUCCUGGAACCAGAAGGAGAUACCGUGUCCCCAGACAGAAAGGUACCCCAGAUCCUACAGAAGAGAGCACAUGAGAGUCAAGGCUGGGACAGCAAUAACCUUUCCUCAUCACCUGCCUGCACCCUUCCAUGUUAACAUACUGUGAACCGAGCAGAAGUGACAAAACUAAUCCAUCACCCCAGAGCCAACACAAAGAGGAAUAGAGAGGUUAACAGAAAUUGAUGACAUCCCCGCUGGAAUUUUACACUGAUUCGGCCAGCCUUACGAUUGAAAUAGACAAAGAUUUAUAGUCCGAGCGAGGACGCUGGCUGCUCUUGAUUGCCUUGAUUUUUUUUAUGUGCUCCUGCAUAUUUAUUCCCAAGCUCAUCACCGGCUUGUAGCAUUAGAAUGCUGAUUUGAUUGUACAUUCCAAGAGGAGCAGGCAUUAUGCAGCCAUUUGCAUGAUGUGAGAGAAAUCACCAGAACGUUUCUGAUAUCAGCGGCCAAAAUGAUCACUAAUGUUC